AAGUCGUAACAAGGUUUCCGUAGGUGAACCUGCGGAAGGAUCAUUAAUACGUUUCUUAAAACAAACGUUUUAAACUCCAAAAAUUUGAUCGUGGAAAAUAAACUUCCGGAUGCAUUUGUAGGGAGGAUUCACAGUUUCGCGACUGUGACCCUUCUUGAAAAAGGGACUUCACAUUGUCUCUCUUUAUUGAGAGAGAUGUGACACUUCAGAGUAGAGCAGUGAAGUGAAAACUUGAGUGUUUUGGUUCUGAAAUACAUCUGUAUCCGGUUAUUCUCUGUUCUACAACUUUAAAUUAUCAAACAAUAAACCCCAUGUACAACAACUUGAACUAAACCAUUUUGUUUUCUUGAUACUCUUUGCUGAGUUGAGAGAAGAUGAAGUAAAAUCUGAACUUAAGAACAACUCUUAACAACGGAUAUCUUGGUUCUC
This 429-nucleotide unclassified non-coding RNA is filed under the name fungal sp. RNAcentral describes it as "partial internal transcribed spacer region". The stretch from base 1 to 46 matches the Rfam family "Eukaryotic small subunit ribosomal RNA", at positions 1786 to 1831 of the family's 1831-position model. Lineage: Eukaryota; Fungi. The record is from RNAcentral.